UAGCCAAAUGCCUCGUCAUCUAAUUAGUGACGCGCAAGAAUGGAUUAACGAGAUUCCCUCUGUCCCUACCUACUUUCUAGCGAAACCACGGCCAAGGGAACGGGCUUGGAAGAAUCAGCGGGGAAAGAAGACCCUGUUGAGCUUGACUCUAGUCUGGUACUGUAAGGAGACAUGAGAGGUGUAGCAUAAGUGGGAGGCGGCUCGCCGUCGACAGUGAAAUACCACUACUUUCAU
RNAcentral lists this ribosomal RNA (234 nucleotides) under Plectropoda sp. CMF 0022. Its description in RNAcentral is "partial large subunit ribosomal RNA". It matches the Rfam family "Eukaryotic large subunit ribosomal RNA", at positions 2280 to 2509 of the family's 3401-position model. The record is from RNAcentral. Lineage: Eukaryota; Metazoa; Arthropoda; Insecta; Hemiptera; Coreidae.